RNAcentral lists this long non-coding RNA (2539 nucleotides) under Oreochromis niloticus (Nile tilapia). RNAcentral describes it as "lncRNA (ENSONIG00000036218.1)". The record is from RNAcentral. Lineage: Eukaryota; Metazoa; Chordata; Actinopteri; Cichliformes; Cichlidae.
AUGGCUGAACUUCUGCUGCUAGUCGUGCUUGUGUAUUCUUUUCAUGACAUUAAAGCACAAGGUCAGUCACUAUGCUUUACUGUCACCACUAUAUCCGCUGCUUACUUUGACUAUUUUUGCACAUUAUGUAUUUCACCUGUACAUCUGAAGUUUCAUAUUUUAUGUGAAUAAUUUUGGAUGUUACAAAAACAUUUGGCUAAUUUUCAAAAUGUUAUUAUAUUUAAAUGUAACUUAGCCGAACACUUACUUGUCCCUGUACUGAUGGUGUUUACAGUGCAUUAAAUGUCCCACAAUGACCUAAGAGAAAAAAAAUUUUUUUGAAUUUGAAUGUUCAAAUUUUUAUUGUAAAAUGUUCUGUUGUGUGACAGUUGGGCUAUGAAACAGUUGCCAGAGAGACCAGAGAGAAAAACUUUGAUACAUUGGUAAAAAAAAAAUUUCUUAUUUACUUUCUUUUGAAAUAAGUUUUACUAAUACUUCACUAUUGCUAAAGUGUGCUGUUAUGAAUACACUGGUAAAUCGCUCUGUAGCUGUUAGUCAACACUGGGGCAGAGUUGGGCAGAGUCUAAAUAUAUUAUAGUUAAAUAGGUUGAGGGUUUCAAAAAGUCUGUCACAGCACAGGUCUGACGUUUGUUUUAUUGUGGCCACUUGGUGUUUACUUCUGGCUCUCUGGGAAUCAAGUUCUGAAAAUGAAAUCUAAUGUAAGUGAAAGUCAAAGGACUUUUAGUUUGCGUUGUAUAUUCAAAUCAUCAAGUUUAUUAUGGCUGAACGUCUAUUGCUACUGAGCCUCCUCCUGAUUUGUUUUUUGUUUCGGCCCUCUGGACAGCAUUGUAUACUAAUGUCACAGCAUUAAGCAUGAUUAAGGAACCGUUUUAGUAAGGUAUAAGCAAGUGCUUAAUUCAUCAUUGUGUAUUGUGUCUGUGUUUACAUAAAAACACGACCAGCUGCUAACUCUCUAAAACAUUGUUGCCCAGAGCCAGAUUGGCUAGUGAACUGAAAUUAUCCAUCCAUCCAUCAGCUUGUUUUAGCUUGACUGCAGGAUUCUCCAGCAUUUUCCUCUAAAGGAGUUUGAAUCACUGCUUAAAUUCUUAAUAGAAAAAGGAAGACAUGACACAGCAGUAUGGUAAAUAAUAAGUGUUUAUUAUAAACGGUUUUAACACAAAAAGAUGGCAACACCGCUCUAUCAAUGAGCUCUAACAAAAGAGACCUGGCCUUCUGUGCCUAAGGAGACAGAAGAAGAAACAAACAAGAAAGAAAAAAGAAAAAAAAACACUUCUGCGGCCUACAGGCCCAACCUACUCACUGGUAGCAGCAAUGAGACCCACACUACUCAAUCUGGAGAGAAGGCAGAGAGAAAUAGAGGAAGAGAGGGGUGGAGCAAGAGAGGAGGAAGGCUAGAGAGAGAGCAACACCACACCCACACACUCCCAUAGCCUCACAGGAUGUAACCCCCCCCCUACAUUAAAGCUAUAUUAAGCAAUGAAAGACUUCGCUAUCAUUUCAGACACUUUCUUCACUAUAACAUAGGGCCCUGAAACACAAGUCGUGAGAGCAGAACCAAGCACGGGCAGCAACAUGAGGACUUUGUCCCCAGGCUGACAUUGUCUUUUCACUGCAUUUGUAUCAAAAGAGAGCCUCUUUUGCUAAUGAAGUAACACAUUGCCACCGGUCCUUAUACAUCUUCACAAAAGUCACCGAGUCAGUUUUUGGAUUACAGUCGCUCAGAAGACUCUCCUUACGCACCUUUAAUCGGCCUCGUAGAUCAUGGUCAAACACAAGGGUAGCUGGGCUGAAACCCAAGGACUCCUGCUUAGCAUCACAUAUAGCGAACAAAACAAAAAGGAUACCUUCACCCCAAUUUUUUACCUGUAUCAUGGCAAUAUUUGCUUAGCAUUGCCUUGAGCAUUUUAAGACAACGCUCAAGUGCACCUUUCGACUCUGGCUGGUAAACACUGAACACAGAAUGGGAAACUGCAAAGGGACUGUAAAGUCCAUUUAAAAUUUCGGGAAAAGAAAUUAGUUCCCCGAUCUGUCUGUACAGUUCACCCUCAGGAACCCUUCUGGCUCCAGAGCAGGGCCCUGGUAACCCUAUCCCGGGCAGGGUGAACUGUUCCCUAGGUGUUCUUCUCAUAAGGAUCUCAUGAAUCACUCUUUGUCUGGUCCCUCACCCAGGACCAGUUUGCCAUGAGAGACCCUACCAGGAAAACAUAGCCCCUGGGAUCACUGGGACACACAAACCCAGAUAAGGUAGUGAUUUGCGGAGGGGAUUGGCAAGUACUUUUGUUGAAAUACAUAGUGGGAGAAAUUUGUCAGAUGAGGACAAACGAGGAAGAGAGAGGACUACAGGAAGAAAAGACAGUACUGACGAUAUAAUGAAUUGUCCCUUUUCCAUUGGAGAAAUGAAAAGAGCUCCAUAGUGCUCCAGGGAAAGAUGUGCCAUGCUGUGUUUAAAUAUUUAAGGGAUGCGCCUUCUGCACUGCCUGUGGUUUCCAGGCGGCGGUGUGGAAGGUGCAGAAGGUUCUUCAGGCGCAUGAGUAGACGA